RNAcentral lists this ribosomal RNA (253 nucleotides) under uncultured bacterium. Its description in RNAcentral is "partial 16S ribosomal RNA". It matches the Rfam family "Bacterial small subunit ribosomal RNA", at positions 524 to 776 of the family's 1533-position model. The record is from RNAcentral.
UACGAGAGGCCCAAACGUUAUUCGGAAUUACUGGGCUUAAAGAGUUCGUAGGCGGCAUUGCAAGUAGGGUGUGAAAGCCCGGGGCUCAACUCCGGAAUUGCCUUUAAGACUGCAUCGCUAGAAUUGUGGAGAGGUAAGUGGAAUUCCGAGUGUAGAAGUGAAAUUCGUAGAUAUUCGGAAGAACACCAGUGGCGAAGGCGACUUACUGGACACAUAUUGACGCUGAGGUGCGAAAGCGUGGGGAGCAAACAGG